Gopherus flavomarginatus (Mexican gopher tortoise) is the source of this 73-nucleotide non-coding RNA. Lineage: Eukaryota; Metazoa; Chordata; Testudines; Testudinidae. The record is from the annotation of a RefSeq genome assembly.
GUUUCUGCAGUGUAAUGGUUAUCAUGUUUGCCUAGCAUGCAAAAGAUCCCUGGUUUGAAACCAGGCAGAAACA